CCAAAGGUUAGCAUGGUCCCUGAGCAGGGAGAACAUGUAAAUUCAUGAAAUGUUCCAUAUUUUU
This 64-nucleotide small nuclear RNA is filed under the name Tursiops truncatus (common bottlenose dolphin). Lineage: Eukaryota; Metazoa; Chordata; Mammalia; Artiodactyla; Delphinidae. The record is from RNAcentral.